GCACAGGUACACAUACUAGUAUAUAAAUAAAAAGCCUUAGCAUCCUAACCCUAAAUCGAAGUGCAUCUGCCGCCGACGACAUUGGUAAAGGAGGAAGCAGCAUGGAGAAGAAUCAAAGUGCAUCUGCCUCAUGAAUUGAUCAUCCAAGUCCUCUUGAGGUUACCGGUGAAAUCUCUUGUACAUUUCAAAUGGAUUUGUAAGUCAUGGUUAACUCUUAUCUCCGAUCCUCACUUUGUAAUAUGUUUAUUGACAGCUUUAAUUGUUUGUGUGAUUCACUGUUGUUAUUUGUGCAUGUGUAAUUGGAUUGAGUUAUGAUGUAUGUUGUGAUCACUACUUAAAAUUGUUAUAUAUGGUAAAUUAUCUGUUGAGUUUAUGCAUGUUGAUCAACAUCACCAUCACAAUUACACCUAUUUGACUCAAAUUCAUUAAAAAGAAAUUAUUACAAGUCUAAUGAUUUUACUUUAUGCUUCCUAGUGUAUAAUCCCUUUAACAUCUCCCAAAUUUCUUUGUCUGGAAACUAUCCUCUAUUUUUGUUAUUUCCACCAAUAAAAACCGUAAUUCAUAACAUAGAGUACAAUGGACAAUCUAUAGUUCUGAAUACUUCUCUUUUUUAUGAAUCUGACUCCUCUAAAGUGAUUGAUUCACUUUAGAGUGUAAAGUGAGUAAUUUCAACUAUUAAUUAGUAAUAAAUUAAAGGUAGAUUUUAUAGGUACAUGAUAACAAAUUAUGGGGUUAUUACAACCACAACCCUUAAUUUCCUCACUUUACACUUAACUCACUUAGAGGAUCCAAUUCCCUUUUUUAUAUAUGUUCCUCUUUAGAUUAUGCCAUUUUCGAUCGCACAAUUGGAUGUGGAAUUGGAUCCAUUUUGCUCUUUGUGAUAGCAUAUAUGGUGUACAUCCACAUAUUGUGUUGAUCUUCCUUUGUUUUGUAAUAAGCAUCAUGUAGUAUGGCUCAAGAAAUUUGAUAAAUCCAAAAUAAAAAGAGAUACCAUAAGACAAUUGAGUUAUUAUUAUAAAUAAUGUUGAGAUUUUAAACUCAAUGUUGGAAUUUUAAAGAUUUUAUAUGAUUGAAAGAGACAAAAAUAGAACAUUUUGGGGAUCUUAAAGAUUGACAGAUCAAAGCCGUCUAAGUUAAAUAUGAUGAAAUCCAAUAUUAUACACAAAAAUUGAGUCUUGUGACAUUUUGAGGCGUAUACAUGAAGGAAACAAGUCCACUGGUAGAUAACUUGCGGGUAUACCCUAUAAAUGUAUACGCCGCAAAAUAUCUAUCAGUGGACUUGUUUCCUUCAUGGAUGCGUCUCAAAAUGGCACAACACUCAAUGUCUAUGUAUAAUGUUGUUGGAACUUCGAUGAUAUUUAAUUCAGAAGGCUUCAAUCUGUCAAUCUUUUUUUUUUUUUUUACAAUGAGUUGGGAAUCAAACCCAGUACCUAUAACAUACUACUCAAACCUCUCAGCACUAGACCAAACCUAGUGGCUUCGAUCCGUCAAUCUUUAAGAUCUUUCAUUUAUUGUUUUUGUCUCUUCCAAUCAUAUAGUAUCUUUAAAAUUACAACAUUAUUUAUCAUAAUAACUCAAGUUUCUUAUGAUGUCUCUUUUUAUUUAUGGUUUAUUAAAUUUCUUGAGCCAUACUACAUGUUAUUUAUAAACUAAAGGCAAUCAUCACCAUACAAGCCGGUUUUGUAAGGAUGAGCAGCAUCACAAAUAAGAGCAACAACAUCAGGAACCUCAACAGCAACCAAGAUGUGUUAUGGAAUAGGAAAAUUGGUCUUUGCUUUAGACCCUCGGAACAUAAUUGCUUUUUCAUCGUAAGCUCUGGCCGCUUCUAAAGCGGUGUUAAACUUUCCUAACCAGACACACGCCUUUUUGGAGGGAUCUUUGAUUUCUGCGGCGAAUCGUCCCCGUGGUCGCUUUCGAACGCCUCGGUAGCGGAUUUUUCGUGUCCGGAGUGAGAAAAUCCUACACCGGACAUGGAAAUCCGCUACCGAGACGUUCGGAAGGGACCGUGUGGACGAUUCUCCACAGAAAUCCAAGAUCCCUCCAAAAAGACGCGUGUCUGGUUAGGAACGUUUAACACCGCUUUAGAAGCGGCCAGAGCUUAUGAUGAAAAAGCGAUUAUGUUUUGAGGGUCUAAAGCAAAGACCAAUUUUCUUAUUCCAGAACACAUCUUGGUUGCUGCUGAGAUUGUUGUUGCUGAUGCUCCUAUUCGUGCUGCUGCUCAUCCGGUUAAUAAUGAUAGAAUUGAAAUUUUGAGAUACCGGUGAAUAGGCCUACUUCAAGCGAAAUGAGUAGUAUCGUUGAGUCAUUCAGUGGACCUAGGGCUAUUGUUGUUGGUUCGUCAUCAACAACAAUUGUUUCUAGGGUUCCUGUUGGUCCUGAGGAUUUUCAAGGUGAUUGUGAUUCAUCUUCAUCUAUUGUUGAUGAUGAUGAAGAUUGCGUUGUUGUUGCUUCUUCAUCAUCAUCGGUCAAGAAGCCGCUGGAGAUCGAUCUCAAUUUCCUUGCUCCGAUGAAUGAUGAAGAGAUCUGUGCUACCGCCUUGCAUCUUUGACUUACUGCUGCCGAUGCUGCUGAAUUAUCUUUUUUAUCUUUUAAUUUGAUGAAUGUAGUUUGUUGAGUCUUGGAAAAAAGAGGAAAAAGUAUGAAUUUUACUUUGUUAGAUUAUUAUGAAUAUGAUGAUUGUUGUAGAGUAUUGAAAUAGGGCAUGGUCAUCUAUGUAAUGUUAUGUGAUAAGUCGAUUUUGUAGGGUUGAGUUAGGCGCAAUCUACGAUGUUAUCAGAGCCUCCUCGACGAUUCUCUAGGCCUCUUGCUAUCAAUUAUUGAUCGAGCCAUCCACCAUUUAUAUCCGCGCCCCAAGCCCAAUAACGCUGAGCGCGAGUGAGGGUGUUAACAAGUUUCACAUCGGUUGCGAGAUGGCCUGAAUAUAUGUUUAUAAACUAGAGGUGAUCCUCACCAUACAAACCGGUUUUGUCAGGAUGAGUUAGACCCAACUCCCAAUUUCUAAGAUGGUAACAGAGUCUCCACGAUCCGCUGGGCUGCCUGCUAUCAAGUUCUGGUCGGGUCAUCCACCUUUCAUAUUUGCGCCUCAAGCCCAUAGUGCUUGGCGCGACGAGGUGUUAAGAAGUCCCACAUCGGUUGCGAGAUGGCCUUAAUAUGUGUUUAUAAAGUGAGGGCAAUCAUCACCUUACAAGCCAGUUUUGUAAAGAUGAGUUAGGCCCAAUACCCAAUUCUAAGAUGAUAUCAAAACGGAGGAAGAUCGAUACAAUAUGUGGACACACUCUGUAUGCUAUCACGAAGAGUGAAAUGGUUCCAAUUCCACAUCCAAGUGUGCGGUCGAAAUCAGCAUAUUCUGAGAAUAGGUCUUUAGUCAAUUUUACAUGAACCUGUAAUAGUAGCAUUUAAGGAGAUAUAUAAUAGAAUCAUUCAAAACCUAUGAAGCACCGACACCUCAAUUAUUAGGCAUGUCGCGGUGUCCGACACGUGUCGGUGUCCGACAUUCGUAUGACACUCGUACAACACGUGUCGGAUAGCUCGUAUCGGUUUCGGAAAAAAUUCAAUUUUUCCUUCACUUUGACACUCCUUUGAUCGGUGUCCGACACCUUUAAGACACUCAUAUAACAUGUGUCGCACAAAUGUCCCAACAAUAAUUAUGUUUUCUUUGCUUAUACUCUCCUUAGACACAUAUCAAACAUAUCUUCAAGAGUUAAAGAUGUGCUGAAACAACAAUAUUGAUCAAUGAGGGAUUGAAAACAUUACAUUUUGAUUAUAAUAUUUUUAGUUUUUCGAUCGUAGAUAGAUAAAUAAAAGUAAAAUACUAUCCUAUCUUGUUUUAAAACUUUUUUUAAAAAAAAAAUUUGCUAAAAUUAGAUUUACAUGUAUAUAUUUUGAUUCUCAAUUUAUAUGUUUUAUAAAUAUGUAGCGGUGUCGAUGUCCUAUAUUUUUUACAUUAGCAGUGUCGCGGUGUCCCUGUUCGUGUCGGAGUCCGUGCUUCAUAGUUCAAAACUGUAGCCUGUCCUGCCCAUAAGCUUGCUAGAGCGGCCAUUUCUUGAGCUGGUCGCUAUUAUCUUGAAAGGAUACCUACUUGUAUUGAAACUAUUUUGAUUAAUGAAACUGUUUGUAAAAAAAAAAACUAUAGCCUGUCGAUUGUUCUUCAAUAUUAUGAAUUACGGUUUUUUAUUGGAGUUUGUGAUAUCGUGUAGCGAAAACGUUCUGUUAUAUAAUCAUUAUUAUACUUGGAACGGAUGGUGGUAAUGGAUUGGGUGAAGUGUGAUGACAAAGGACCGUUGCUAGAGCAUCACACCUACGUUUAUGUUCUAAUUUAUUUGAUGUGUUUAUGUUCUAAAAUGUAACACUAUCCUAUCCACACAUCCUUUUCUCUACUUAAAUUUGCAGAGUCCCUAUAUCAGUAAGAAAUACUACUAUAGGGGGAUGAGUGAUGAAUAUAAAGGAAUAAAUUUAUAUAUUAGUGUAUUUUAUCCACUUUGAAGCCAUGCUUUCUUAUCUGUAUUGAAGUCAUUAUAUAGCAUGAUUUGGCCCUAAUGUGUUCAAUUUAAUAUGCCCUGUUAUGUCACAACAUAAUUGUUUGGUAGAAUCCAAUUCAACAUAAAUUAGACAAUAUACUGUUCUAAAAUCAGCAGUGUAAUAUUUGUUUUUCAAAAUUAUUUAUAGGAUUGGGUCAAGUAGGUAACAAUGGUUUGCAUAUGUGAUGUUAUCAAUUCCUUUGAUGCCAUACAUAGUCAAUCUGCUAACAAAUUUUUGGUGAUCAUUGAAAAUUGUAAAACUAUCCUCAGCUUCUGGAGGUAACAAACUAUCAAGAGGCUUGGGAUUUUCAUAUCUUGGGUGAUAUUUGCUUAUUUCUUGUGCUAAUAUGAAUGUCCAGUAUCUGUACACUUCUUUUGUUGUAAUGUAUUGGCAUAAAUUCCCUUGAUAGAAACCAAAAGGCAAAGGCCAUUGUUUCAACUAUAAAUGUUGAUUCUACAACUACAGGUAGGUUUUGAAUGUUGAUACAAUUCUGAUAAUGAAAUGGUAUCAGAGCAUACAAAGUUACUUUACGCCUUAUGCGGCGAUCUAUAUGAAC
RNAcentral lists this long non-coding RNA (5074 nucleotides) under Trifolium pratense (red clover). Its description in RNAcentral is "long non-coding RNA (TPRA_LNC013383)". Lineage: Eukaryota; Viridiplantae; Streptophyta; Magnoliopsida; Fabales; Fabaceae. The record is from RNAcentral.